CCCAGGCUUCGGCCUGGGGGACAGCGGCGAACGGGUNAGUAACACGUGGGUAAUCUGCCCUCGGCAUCGGGAUAGCCCGGGGAAACCCGGAUUAAUACCGAAUGGCCCAUCUGCUCUUCGGAGCGGCUGGAAAAGGUAGCUUUGGCCUCCGGCCGAGGAGGAGCCCGCGGCGGAUUAGCUUGUUGGUGAGGUAACGGCUCACCAAGGCGACGAUCCGUAGCUGGUCUGAGAGGACGAUCAGCCACACUGGGACUGAGACACGGCCCAGACUCCUACGGGAGGCAGCAGUGGGGAAUCUUGCGCAAUGGGCGAAAGCCUGACGCAGCGACGCCGCGUGCGGGAAGAAGGCCUUCGGGUUGUAAACCGCUUUCAGGAGGGACGAAGCCACUCGGGUUAAUAGCCCAGAGGGUGACGGUACCUCCAGAAGAAGCCCCGGCUAACUACGUGCCAGCAGCCGCGGUAAUACGUAGGGGGCAAGCGUUGUCCGGAUUUAUUGGGCGUAAAGAGCGUGUAGGCGGCCAGGUAGGUCCGCUGUGAAAACUCGAGGCUCAACCUCGAGAUGUCGGCGGAAACCAUCAGGCUAGAGUCCGGAAGAGGAGAGUGGAAUUCCUGGUGUAGCGGUGAAAUGCGCAGAUAUCAGGAAGAACACCCGUGGCGAAGGCGGCUCUCUGGGACGGUACUGACGCUGAGACGCGAAAGCGUGGGGAGCGAACAGGAUUAGAUACCCUGGUAGUCCACGCCGUAAACGAUGGGUGCUAGGUGUGGGCGGUGUCGACUCCGUCCGUGCCGAAGCUAACGCAUUAAGCA
Molecule: ribosomal RNA, 807 nt
Filed under: uncultured Actinomycetes bacterium
Lineage: Bacteria; Bacillati; Actinomycetota; Actinomycetes
Description: bacterial SSU rRNA
Rfam family: Bacterial small subunit ribosomal RNA
Source: RNAcentral